Molecule: ribosomal RNA, 793 nt
Filed under: uncultured crenarchaeote
Lineage: Archaea; Thermoproteati; Thermoproteota
Description: bacterial SSU rRNA
Rfam family: Archaeal small subunit ribosomal RNA
Source: RNAcentral
ACGGCUCAGUAACACGUAGUCAAUCUAACCUAUGGACGGGGAUAACCUCGGGAAACUGAGAAUAAUACCCGAUAGGCCAUUAUGCCUGGAACGGUUUAUGGCCGAAAUGAUUUAUCGCCAUAGGAUGGGACUGCGACCUAUCAGCUUGUUGGUAAGGUAAUGGCUUACCAAGGCUAUUACAGGUACGGGCUCUGAGAGGAGAAGCCCGGAGAUGGGUACUGAGACACGGACCCAGGCCCUAUGGGGCGCAGCAGGCGAGAAAACUUUGCAAUGUGCGAAAGCACGACAAGGUUAAUCCGAGUGGUUUGUGCUAAACGAACCUUUUGACAGUCCUAGAAACACUGUUGAAUAAGGGGUGGGCAAGUUCUGGUGUCAGCCGCCGCGGUAAAACCAGCACCUCAAGUGGUCAGGAUGAUUAUUGGGCCUAAAGCAUCCGUAGCCUGAUCUGUAAGUUUUCGGUUAAAUCUAUGCGCUUAACGUAUAGGCUGCCGGAAAUACUGCAGAUCUAGGGAGUGGGAGAGGUAGACGGUACUCGGUAGGAAGGGGUAAAAUCCUUUGAUCUAUUGAUGACCACCUGUGGCGAAGGCGGUCUACCAGAACACGUCCGACGGUGAGGGAUGAAAACUGGGGGAGCAAACCGGAUUAGAUACCCGGGUAGUCCCAGCUGUAAACAAUGCAAACUCAGUGAUGCAUUGGCUUGUGGCCAAUGCAGUGCUGCAGGGAAGCCGUUAAGUUUGCCGCCUGGGAAGUACGUACGCAAGUAUGAAACUUAAAGGAAUUGGCGGGGGAGCAC